RNAcentral lists this ribosomal RNA (504 nucleotides) under uncultured Mucilaginibacter sp. RNAcentral describes it as "partial 16S ribosomal RNA". Lineage: Bacteria; Pseudomonadati; Bacteroidota; Sphingobacteriia; Sphingobacteriales; Sphingobacteriaceae. The record is from RNAcentral.
CACGGAGUUAGCCGAUCCUUAUUCUUACCGUACAUUCAGCCUGAUAUACAUAUCAGGGUUUAUUCCGGUACAAAAGCAGUUUACAACCCGUAGGGCCGUCUUCCUGCACGCGGCAUGGCUGGUUCAGGCUUGCGCCCAUUGACCAAUAUUCCUUACUGCUGCCUCCCGUAGGAGUCUGGUCCGUGUCUCAGUACCAGUGUGGGGGUCAUCCUCUCAGAUCCCCUAAACAUCGUAGCCUUGGUAAGCCAUUACCUUACCAACUAGCUAAUGUUCCGCAUGCCCAUCUUGAUCCUAUAAAUAUUUGAUUACCGAAAAAUGCUGUUCAGUAAUGUUAUGCGGUGUUAAUCUCUCUUUCGAGAGGCUAUCCCCCAGAUCAAGGUAGGUUACAUACGUGUUACGCACCCGUGCGCCACCCUCAUCAGGAGCAAGCUCCCAAACUCCCGUUCGACUUGCAUGUAUUAGGCCUGCCGCUAGCGUUCUAUCCUCGAGCCGACGGAGUACAAA